UACGAAGGACCCAAGCGUUAUCCGGAUUUAUUGGGUUUAAAGGGUGCGUAGGCGGUUUAUUAAGUCAGUGGUGAAAGCCUACAGCUUAACUGUAGAAUUGCCAUUGAUACUGAUGAUCUUGAGUAUGAUUGAGGUGGGCGGAAUGUGUCAUGUAGCGGUGAAAUGCUUAGAUAUGACACAGAACACCGAGUGCGAAGGCAGCUCACUAAGCCAUAACUGACGCUGAUGCACGAAAGCGUGGGGAGCAAACAGG
This 253-nucleotide ribosomal RNA is filed under the name uncultured bacterium. Its description in RNAcentral is "partial 16S ribosomal RNA". It matches the Rfam family "Bacterial small subunit ribosomal RNA", at positions 524 to 776 of the family's 1533-position model. The record is from RNAcentral.